GGAUCCAGACUUUGAUUCUGGCUCAGGAUGAACGCUAGCUACAGGCUUAACACAUGCAAGUCGAGGGGAAACGACAUCGAAAGCUUGCUUUUGAUGGGCGUCGACCGGCGCACGGGUGAGUAACGCGUAUCCAACCUGCCCACCACUUGGGAAUAACCUUGCGAAAGUAAGACUAAUACCCAAUGACAUCCCACGAAGGCAUCCGAAUGGGAUUAAAGAUUUAUCGGUGAUGGAUGGGGAUGCGUCUGAUUAGCUUGUUGGCGGGGUAACGGCCCACCAAGGCAACGAUCAGUAGGGGUUCUGAGAGGAAGGUCCCCCACAUUGGAACUGAGACACGGUCCAAACUCCUACGGGAGGCAGCAGUGAGGAAUAUUGGUCAAUGGACGCGAGUCUGAACCAGCCAAGUAGCGUGCAGGAUGACGGCCCUAUGGGUUGUAAACUGCUUUUAUAAGGGAAUAAAGUGAGUCACGUGUGACUUUUUGCAUGUACCUUAUGAAUAAGGACCGGCUAAUUCCGUGCCAGCAGCCGCGGUAAUACGGAAGGUCCGGGCGUUAUCCGGAUUUAUUGGGUUUAAAGGGAGCGUAGGCCGGAGAUUAAGCGUGUUGUGAAAUGUAGAGGCUCAACCUCUGCACUGCAGCGCGAACUGGUCUUCUUGAGUACGCACAACGUGGGCGGAAUUCGUGGUGUAGCGGUGAAAUGCUUAGAUAUCACGAAGAACUCCGAUUGCGAAGGCAGCUCACGGGAGCGCAACUGACGCUGAAGCUCGAAAGUGCGGGUAUCGAACAGGAUUAGAUACCCUGGUAGUCCGCACGGUAAACGAUGGAUGCCCGCUGUUGGCCUGAAUAGGUCAGCGGCCAAGCGAAAGCAUUAAGCAUCCCACCUGGGGAGUACGCCGGCAACGGUGCAACUCAAAGGAAUUGACGG
Molecule: ribosomal RNA, 924 nt
Filed under: uncultured Bacteroidota bacterium
Lineage: Bacteria; Pseudomonadati; Bacteroidota
Description: bacterial SSU rRNA
Rfam family: Bacterial small subunit ribosomal RNA
Source: RNAcentral